AGAGUUUGAUCCUGGCUCAGGAUGAACGCUAGCGACAGGCCUAACACAUGCAAGUCGAGGGGCAGCAUUUCUAGCUUGCUAGAAGAUGGCGACCGGCGCACGGGUGAGUAACGCGUAUGCAACCUACCUUAUACUGGGGGAUAGCCCAAAGAAAUUUGGAUUAAUACCGCAUAACAUAUUUGAAUCGCAUGGUUUGAAUAUUAAAACUCCGGUGGUAUAAGAUGGGCAUGCGUAGCAUUAGUUAGUUGGUGAGGUAACGGCUCACCAAGACUAUGAUGCUUAGGGGGUCUGAGAGGAUAGUCCCCCACACUGGUACUGAGACACGGACCAGACUCCUACGGGAGGCAGCAGUGAGGAAUAUUGGUCAAUGGACGAAAGUCUGAACCAGCCAUGUCGCGUGCAGGAUGACGGCCCUAUGGGUUGUAAACUGCUUUUUUUACAGGAAUAAUUGUCGAUACGUGUAUCGAUUUGAAUGUACUGUAUGAAUAAGGAUCGGCUAACUCCGUGCCAGCAGCCGCGGUAAUACGGAGGAUUCGAGCGUUAUCCGGAUUUAUUGGGUUUAAAGGGUCCGUAGGCGGUUCUUUAAGUCAGUGGUGAAAUCCCAGAGCUCAACUCUGGAACUGCCAUUGAAACUGAAGAACUUGAAUAUGGUUGAGGUAGGCGGAAUACGUUAUGUAGCGGUGAAAUGCAUAGAUAUAACGUAGAACACCAAUUGCGAAGGCAGCUUACUAAACCAUUAUUGACGCUGAUGGACGAAAGCGUGGGGAGCGAACAGGAUUAGAUACCCUGGUAGUCCACGCCGUAAACGAUGAUUACUCGUUGUGCACAAUACAUCGUGCGUGACUGAGCGAAAGCAUUAAGUAAUCCACCUGGGGAGUACGUUCGCAAGAAUGAAACUCAAAGGAAUUGACGGGGGCCCGCACAAGCGGAGGAACAUGUGGUUUAAUUCGAUGAUACGCGAGGAACCUUACCUGGACUUAAAUGUAGAUUGACCGGUUUAGAAAUAGAUCUUUCCUUCGGGACAAUUUACAAGGUGCUGCAUGGUUGUCGUCAGCUCGUGCCGUGAGGUGUCGGGUUAAGUCCCAUAACGAGCGCAACCCCUAUCGUUAGUUGCUAGCAGGUAAUGCUGAGGACUCUAGCGAGACUGCCACCGUAAGGUGAGAGGAAGGUGGGGAUGACGUCAAAUCAGCACGGCCCUUACGUCCAGGGCUACACACGUGUUACAAUGGCCAGUACAAAGGGCAGCUACCUGGUGACAGGAUGCUAAUCUCAAAAGCUGGUCUCAGUUCGGAUCGGAGUCUGCAACUCGACUCCGUGAAGUUGGAUUCGCUAGUAAUCGUAUAUCAGCAAUGAUACGGUGAAUACGUUCCCGGGCCUUGUACACACCGCCCGUCAAGCCAUGGAAGCCGAGGGUGCCUGAAGUACGUUACCGCAAGGAGCGUCCUAGGGUAAAAUUGGUAACUGGGGCUAAGUCGGAACAAGGUA
Molecule: ribosomal RNA, 1485 nt
Filed under: metagenome
Description: bacterial SSU rRNA
Rfam family: Bacterial small subunit ribosomal RNA
Source: RNAcentral